GGAGAGGUGUCCGAGAGGCCGAAGGAGCUCGCCUGCUAAGCGAGUAAGCGUUAACAGCGCUUCCAGGGUUCGAAUCCCUGCCUCUCCGCCA
Molecule: transfer RNA, 91 nt
Filed under: Candidatus Coatesiibacteriota bacterium
Lineage: Bacteria; Candidatus Coatesiibacteriota
Also listed under: 1 other name
Description: Candidatus Coatesbacteria bacterium tRNA-Ser
Rfam family: tRNA
About the family: Transfer RNA (tRNA) molecules are approximately 80 nucleotides in length. Their secondary structure includes four short double-helical elements and three loops (D, anti-codon, and T loops).
Source: RNAcentral